RNAcentral lists this ribosomal RNA (479 nucleotides) under uncultured bacterium. Its description in RNAcentral is "bacterial SSU rRNA". It matches the Rfam family "Bacterial small subunit ribosomal RNA", at positions 29 to 521 of the family's 1533-position model. The record is from RNAcentral.
AUUGAACGCUGGCGGCAUGCCUAACACAUGCAAGUCGAACGGCAGCACGGCAGUAGCAAUACUGUGGGUGGCGAGUGGCGGACGGGUGAGGAAUACGUCGGAAUCUGCCCAGUCGUGGGGGAUAACUAGCCGAAAGGUUAGCUAAUACCGCAUACGACCGAGAGGUGAAAGCGGGGGACCGCAAGGCCUCGCGCGAUUGGAUGAGCCGACGUCGGAUUAGCUAGUUGGAGGGGUAAAGGCCCACCAAGGCGACGAUCCGUAGCUGGUCUGAGAGGAUGAUCAGCCACACUGGAACUGAGACACGGUCCAGACUCCUACGGGAGGCAGCAGUGGGGAAUAUUGGACAAUGGGCGCAAGCCUGAUCCAGCAAUGCCGCGUGAGUGAUGAAGGCCUUAGGGUUGUAAAGCUCUUUUACCAGGGAUGAUAAUGACAGUACCUGGAGAAUAAGCUCCGGCUAACUCCGUGCCAGCAGCCGCGGU